Molecule: unclassified non-coding RNA, 174 nt
Filed under: soil metagenome
Description: partial contains small subunit ribosomal RNA, internal transcribed spacer 1, and 5.8S ribosomal RNA
Source: RNAcentral
UUUCCGUAGGUGAACCUGCGGAAGGAUCAUUAUUAUUUUGUGAUUUUGUUAUUGUUUGUGUGUGGUUUUUGGAUUGGAUUGUUUGAAUGAUUCAAGAAGAAAAAAAGGGCUUACAAGCUUGAUCAGAGAAGAAAAAAUAAUACACAACUCUUGGCAAUGGAUACCUUGGUUCCC